This 104-nucleotide small RNA is filed under the name Chrysemys picta bellii (western painted turtle). RNAcentral's name for it is "TUC338 (ENSCPBG00000003593.1)". The record is from RNAcentral. Lineage: Eukaryota; Metazoa; Chordata; Testudines; Emydidae.
UAUCCCCAGAACAGGUGCAGCACAGGCAGUGGCAACGUGAGCUUCUUCACAACAACCCACCAGUGUGCUUCAGCCCUGACCUGCAUGAAUGUAUAUAGCAGAUG